This is an RNA transcript of Beta vulgaris subsp. vulgaris (sugar beet), 1293 nucleotides long. It is a transcript of the gene named delta-1-pyrroline-5-carboxylate synthase, with no coding region annotated. The record is from RefSeq and is a predicted model, not a curated record. The transcript has 6 exons. Lineage: Eukaryota; Viridiplantae; Streptophyta; Magnoliopsida; Caryophyllales; Amaranthaceae.
GAGCUUGAAAACGGAGCACAUGAUCUUCAUUUCUUUUUUGAAAAUAAAAAAAAUCUCAAGUGCUCCGAUUGGGCCGAAAAACGGAGCAUAGAAUUUUCUUUUGGGCCCAAAACUCCCUCCCUUCGUUGAACUUGCACCCGCAUUUACUCUCUAAUUACUUCGUUGAACUUGAACCCCCCUCUCUAUCUCUCUCAGUCUCUCCCCUUCCAUCUUCUCUAUUCCAUUCAUGGGGUUCCCCUCUCCGGUUCCCAGGGUCGUGACGGAAACAACCAGCAAACCAAAACCCAUCCCUAUUCCUCGUCACUCUCGUAUCUCUCAUUCACACAUCGUCCUCUUCCAAGACCCAACUCAAAACCCUAAUGCGAGAGCAGACGACCGCCACGACUCCUUGAUGAUGGAGUGACAGACACAACCAGCAUCCUCGUCUCCUUCUCUCACGGUGGCAGAUCUAAGGUUAAGGUUUUGAUCUUCUCUUUGUUGUCGAAAUUGUAUCUGCGCAAUCAUCUGACCCGUACCUGCGUUUUCUGCAGAAGAUGCUAGAGGUAACACUGUUGAGAUGGUGCUGUUUCAGGAUAGCGUUAAAUUUGCUCGAUCAGGCCCUGAAAACUCCAGGGCGAAUCUCCGCCAUUUGGAAAAUGGGAAGGCAACAGACAAUAUCGUCAAAGUACUGAAAGGCCAGCGUGUUGGCACUCUAUUUCACAAGGAUGCUCAAUUAUGGGCUCUAGCUGAAGAAACUGGUGCACGUGAGAUGGCAGUUGCUGCAAGAGAGUGUUCCAGGAUGCUUCAGAAACAUACAUUUGUAUGGUGCGUCUGAAAAGCUCUUCUAAUAAAGAUGCAGUGCAGAUGCAACCGGGCUCUGGUGAAACUCAUAUUUUCUUUCCGGAUAGUCUUGUUGAUGAUCUGAACAUUACGAUUCUGGACUCAAAAGGCCAUCAUUGUGGGUGUGCUGUGGCUCAAGUUACAUCGAUCAUUUGAAUGAAAGUGUGCUGUGGCUCAAGUUGCAUCGAUCAUUCUGAUCAAACCUGCUUCAAGGACAUGCUGAGUUUGGUGUCUGCUCCUUCUGUUAGUCUUCUGUUAGUGACAGUUGAAUUAAAGUGUCAAAGCCCCAAUAAUUUCUUGUAGUGCAUGACUAGUUGAUUAUCUAGAGAACUUUUAUGUAUUGACCUUGGGCAAUGAGGAAUUGUAAUUAACUCACCCUCUUAUAGUUUUUUUUUUACCUUCUAAAGUCUCUCGUCAUAUAUUCAGUCUUGAACGUCGUACCCUUUAUAAUUUGAUUGUGAACACUUUUGCAUA